Molecule: ribosomal RNA, 285 nt
Filed under: uncultured bacterium
Lineage: Bacteria
Description: partial 16S ribosomal RNA
Rfam family: Bacterial small subunit ribosomal RNA
Source: RNAcentral
ACUCCUACGGGAGGCAGCAGUGGGAAUAUUGCGCAAUGGGGAAGGCCAUCGACGCAGCGACGCCGCGUGGUGGAUGAAGGCAGUCUCGGGUCGUAAAAGCCCUGUCGGAGGGGAAGAACCGUACCGACUUAAUACGUCGGUGCCUGACGGUACCCUCUAAGGAAGCACCGGCUAACUCCGUGCCAGCAGCCGCGGUAAUACGGAGGGUGCAAGCGUUGUUCGGAAUCACUGGGCGUAAAGGGCGCGUAGGCGGUCUGUUAAGUCUGAUGUGAAAUCCCUCCGCUC